AGUGCUUAAUCUCCGGCCUUGCGGCUUAGUUUUUCUCUCGGUUUGGGCUUGAGGCCUCUGUCCCAACCAUGCUCCGCCAGAUCAUCGGUCAGGCCAAGAAGCACCCUAGCUUGAUCCCCCUCUUCAUAUUUAUUGGAGCAGGAGGGACUGGAGCAGCACUGUAUGUCACACGCCUGGCAUUGUUCAAUCUCGAUGUCAGUUGGGACAGAAAGAAUAACCCAGAACCCUGGAACAAACUAGGUCCUAAUGAUCAGUACAAGUUCUACUCUGUGAACGUAGAUUACAGCAAACUGAAGAAAGAAGGUCCAGACUUCUAAAUGAAAUAUUUCACUUAAAGCUGCUCAGAAUGAAGGUCUUCCAGAAGCC
This is a non-coding RNA of Odocoileus virginianus texanus, 366 nucleotides long. The record is from RefSeq and is a predicted model, not a curated record. Lineage: Eukaryota; Metazoa; Chordata; Mammalia; Artiodactyla; Cervidae.